This 374-nucleotide ribosomal RNA is filed under the name alpha proteobacterium K-2058. Its description in RNAcentral is "bacterial SSU rRNA". It matches the Rfam family "Bacterial small subunit ribosomal RNA", at positions 1110 to 1486 of the family's 1533-position model. The record is from RNAcentral. Lineage: Bacteria; Pseudomonadati; Pseudomonadota; Alphaproteobacteria.
UUUAGUUGCCAUCAUUUAGUUGGGUACUCUAAAGGAACCGCCGGUGAUAAGCCGGAGGAAGGUGGGGAUGACGUCAAGUCCUCAUGGCCCUUACGCGUUGGGCUACACACGUGCUACAAUGGCGACUACAGUGGGCAGCCACCUCGCGAGAGGGAGCUAAUCUCCAAAAGUCGUCUCAGUUCGGAUCGUUCUCUGCAACUCGAGAGCGUGAAGGCGGAAUCGCUAGUAAUCGCGGAUCAGCAUGCCGCGGUGAAUACGUUCCCAGGCCUUGUACACACCGCCCGUCACACCAUGGGAGUUGGAUUCACUCGAAGGCGUUGAGCUAACCGCAAGGAGGCAGGCGACCACAGUGGGUUUAGCGACUGGGGUGAAUC